UUACACUCUUGACCUCGGAUCAGGUAGGGAUACCCGCUGAACUUAAGCAUAUCAAUAAGCGGAGG
Molecule: ribosomal RNA, 65 nt
Filed under: Phoma sp. CB-R-4
Lineage: Eukaryota; Fungi; Ascomycota; Dothideomycetes; Pleosporales; Didymellaceae
Description: partial 28S ribosomal RNA
Rfam family: Eukaryotic large subunit ribosomal RNA (bases 10-65)
Source: RNAcentral